RNAcentral lists this ribosomal RNA (253 nucleotides) under uncultured Eubacteriales bacterium. RNAcentral's name for it is "uncultured Clostridiales bacterium partial 16S ribosomal RNA". It matches the Rfam family "Bacterial small subunit ribosomal RNA", at positions 524 to 776 of the family's 1533-position model. Lineage: Bacteria; Bacillati; Bacillota; Clostridia; Eubacteriales. The record is from RNAcentral.
UACGUAGGGGGCAAGCGUUAUCCGGAUUUACUGGGUGUAAAGGGAGCGUAGACGGCGUGCCAAGUCUGGUGUGAAAGGCCGGGGCUCAACCCCGGGACUGCAUUGGAAACUGGCAUGCUGGAGUGCCGGAGGGGCAAGCGGAAUUCCUAGUGUAGCGGUGAAAUGCGUAGAUAUUAGGAGGAACAUCGGUGGCGAAAGCGCUUUACUGGACCAUUAUUGACGCUGAGGAACGAAAGCCAGGGGAGCAAAUGGG